This is a long non-coding RNA of Neofelis nebulosa (Clouded leopard), 290 nucleotides long. RefSeq lists it as uncharacterized. NCBI's taxonomy places the organism in Eukaryota, Metazoa, Chordata, Mammalia, Carnivora, Felidae. The record is from RefSeq and is a predicted model, not a curated record. The transcript has 3 exons.
AGCAGCUAAGGUAUCCAUUCCCUGAGGGGAAAAAAGGCUGUUUGGAGCUGUUAGCAAUCUAGGAGGAGAAAGAAACUCUGUCCAAAUCGCACAAAGGGACCAGGAGAGAGAAACCACCCGCACAGAAUGUGAAAUGUAGUGAUUCAAUAAUUCUAAACAUUAUUUGAUGCCCACCAUGAUUUUAUUUUUAAGCAUUCUCUACACCCAAUGUGGGGCUCAAACUCACAACCCCAAGAUCGAGAGUCACAUGCUGUACUGACUGAGCCAGGUAGGUGCCCCCCUGACUUAUU